GAGGCGACUGCGGGGUCUACUUCUUCUGUUGCCCUAGCUCAAGGUCGAAGACGAUCCACUGUUCACACUGUGGGCUCAUGGGCCACACUGUGGACAGAUGCUACCGGUUACAUAGAUAUCCACCAGGUUUCAAGCCCAAGCCCGUCAUGUUCCAACCCAAUCCAGGCCCACUCCUGGCACUAAAUCAUUUAAUUCAUUUGGGUCUGGAUCCAGGUCCACUCUCUCUUCUGCAAACCGGGUCUCAACCCACGAACCGAAUCCUCCAGUACACAUCUCUUCUCUUCUUCCUCGGGCACGCAUCCUCUUGUGCGACAGGCGCAGAGCUUCGCCUCCGCCACUGCCUGCUUGCCGAUGCUUGAUUCCGUUGCCUCGGUUGACUCUCUGAGCACGUCACAAAUCC
RNAcentral lists this long non-coding RNA (400 nucleotides) under Carica papaya (papaya). RNAcentral's name for it is "long non-coding RNA (CPAP_LNC001008)". Lineage: Eukaryota; Viridiplantae; Streptophyta; Magnoliopsida; Brassicales; Caricaceae. The record is from RNAcentral.